This is a long non-coding RNA of Mauremys mutica (yellowpond turtle), 545 nucleotides long. RefSeq lists it as uncharacterized. The transcript is spliced from 4 exons. Lineage: Eukaryota; Metazoa; Chordata; Testudines; Geoemydidae. The record is from RefSeq and is a predicted model, not a curated record.
CAAGCCAGCAGUACAUUCCUGAGAGUUUUUCAAGCUUAUGAUGUCCUAUAGAGGAGGGCGCAGAAAAUAUGCCCUUCCCCAAAAUGCAACUACCUAUCUGGAGUUCAUACUAUGGGAAAAGUAGCGGUUUGCUUAUUGCAUUCUUCUGAAAAAACUGUAGCUCCUCCACAAUGCUAUAAAUGAGAGAGAAGAAAGGAAACAUAAAUCAAAGAUAUUUAAACGACCUGGAUACAGGCCUCACUGGAAGAAUCUAAAAUGCUUCUGUGGUCACAAGAACAAUUUUCACCCCAUGUUUUUGGACUGCAUAACACAUCAUCAAAAGCACUAGACAUCAGGAAAAAAACAGCAAUCUCCAAAGGGGUAGUUUGGCUGGUGACCAGGUCUACAAAGGGGGAAAUAAGGAAGCUAGUACUUGUGAUUCAAGAAAAGAAUCCCAAGGAAAGAUUUCUAAAAGUUGAAACCUACUAUGAAAAUACAAUAAUCUAUUUUUAAUCUACCAUAAACCAUUACAUAGAAGGACUACAGAACACUGGAUACAAGGGGAG